AUGGCUCAGAACGAACGCUGGCGGCAGGCCUAAGUCAUGCAAGUUGAACGGCUGUAGCAAUACAGCAGUAGCGGACGGGUGAGUAAUGUAUGGGAACGUAUCUUCUAGUGGGGAAUAUUCUUUGGAAACGAAGAGCAAUACCGCAUGAGUCCUACGGGAGAAAGUCGCAAGACGCUAGAUGAGCGGCCCAUAUUGGAUUAGCUAGUUGGUUAGGUAAUGGCUGACCAAGGCAACGAUCCAUAGCUGGUCUAAGAGGACGAUCGGCCACAUUGGGACUGAGACACGGCCCAGACUCCUACGGGAGGCAGCAGUCAGGAAUAUUGGACAAUGGGGGCAACCCUGAUCCAGCCCAUGCCGCGUGAGUGUUAAGGUCUUCGGAUUGUAAAGCUCUUUUGUGUGGGAAAAUGAUGAUGGUACCACAAGAAUAAGCACCGGCUAACUUCGUGCCAGCAGCCGC
This 457-nucleotide ribosomal RNA is filed under the name uncultured bacterium. RNAcentral describes it as "bacterial SSU rRNA". It matches the Rfam family "Bacterial small subunit ribosomal RNA", at positions 19 to 518 of the family's 1533-position model. The record is from RNAcentral.